GUGAGGAAUAUUGGUCAAUGGACGGAAGUCUGAACCAGCCAUGCCGCGUGAAGGAAUAAGGCCCUACGGGUCGUAAACUUCUUUUGUGGUGGAGCAAUAAGACGUACGCGUACGUCGAUGAGAGUACAUCACGAAUAAGCAUCGGCUAACUCCGUGCCAGCAGCCGCGGUAAUACGGAGGAUGCAAGCGUUAUCCGGAUUUAUUGGGUUUAAAGGGUGCGUAGGCUGUGUAGCAAGUCAGUGGUGAAAGCCCGGUGCUCAACACCGGAACUGCCAUUGAUACUGUUGCGCUGGAAUACGGAUGCCGUGGGAGGAAUGAGUAGUGUAGCGGUGAAAUGCAUAGAUAUUACUCAGAACACCGAUUGCGAAGGCAUCUCACGAAUCCGUCAUUGACGCUGAGGCACGAAAGCGUGGGGAUCAAACAGGAUUAGAAACCCGGGUAGUCC
This 445-nucleotide ribosomal RNA is filed under the name uncultured bacterium. Its description in RNAcentral is "bacterial SSU rRNA". It matches the Rfam family "Bacterial small subunit ribosomal RNA", at positions 354 to 796 of the family's 1533-position model. The record is from RNAcentral.